UGCGCCUGGUAGUCCACAUGUCAACUUUAUUGCGGUACCUGGACUUACAGUGACCUUCACCAACCCCACACCGAUGAGUGGAUUGUUUACCAUUUCUGUGACCCUGGUAGAUGGGGAUACGGUUGAGAAGAUUAAAGCCAAGAUCGCUAAAGAGAUUAAGGCUAUUAAAGACAUAAAUGCUCUAAAGCUGUGGUGAUAUCUUGAUCCGGCGUUAGGUCCUCGCAAGAUUCCAGUAGCAGGCGAUCACGUGACAAAAUGCGCGGAACUCGUCAAUGGCGAUGGUAUACGCGUACACGUGGAAGCGUCGCGUAUAGAACUCGUUCAGAACGGAACGAAUAUUGACGUCGGCUUACAGUUUGUGUAUACUUAUGAUAAGUGAUUGUUUUCAGAAAUAUAUUUAUUUAUUUUUA
Molecule: long non-coding RNA, 410 nt
Organism: Pieris brassicae (large cabbage white)
Lineage: Eukaryota; Metazoa; Arthropoda; Insecta; Lepidoptera; Pieridae
Exons: 2
Source: RefSeq, a predicted model, not a curated record